UAUUAUUUUUUGAUAAAUUUAUUCCUAGGUUAGUAAUAGUUAUUUACUUAAAAAUUAAAAAAUUUGGCGGUAGUUUAAUCUUUUCAGAGGAACUUGUUUUUUAAUCGAUAGUCCCCGAAAUAUCUUACUUAUUAAUAUAGAGUUUGUAUACCGUCAUUAUCAGGUAAUUUUGAAAAAAUUAAUUACUAAGAAUAAAAAGGUUUAUUAAAAUUAGAUCAAGGUGCAGCUAAUGAAUAAGUUAAAAUGAGUUACAAUAAAAUAUUUUAUUACGAAUAAGAAAAUGAAUAUUUCUAUGGAAGGUGGAUUUGGUUGUAUUUAAAAUUUAAUAUAUUUUAAAGAUGAUAGCUCUAAACUAUGUACAUAU
Molecule: ribosomal RNA, 364 nt
Filed under: Dissodactylus nitidus
Lineage: Eukaryota; Metazoa; Arthropoda; Malacostraca; Decapoda; Pinnotheridae
Description: partial 12S ribosomal RNA
Source: RNAcentral